GGCCUAUCGCGCAAAACCUGUGUAAGGCGUCGGUCUCCUAAACCGAAGACUGCAGGUUCGAGUCCUGC
This 68-nucleotide transfer RNA is filed under the name Caenorhabditis japonica. It matches the Rfam family "tRNA", at positions 10 to 63 of the family's 71-position model. From Rfam's summary of the family: Transfer RNA (tRNA) molecules are approximately 80 nucleotides in length. Their secondary structure includes four short double-helical elements and three loops (D, anti-codon, and T loops). Further hydrogen bonds mediate the characteristic L-shaped molecular structure. tRNAs have two regions of fundamental functional importance: the anti-codon, which is responsible for specific mRNA codon recognition, and the 3' end, to which the tRNAs corresponding amino acid is attached (by aminoacyl-tRNA synthetases). tRNAs cope with the degeneracy of the genetic code in two manners: having more than one tRNA (with a specific anti-codon) for a particular amino acid; and 'wobble' base-pairing, i.e. permitting non-standard base-pairing at the 3rd anti-codon position. Lineage: Eukaryota; Metazoa; Nematoda; Chromadorea; Rhabditida; Rhabditidae. The record is from Rfam by way of RNAcentral.